Molecule: unclassified non-coding RNA, 262 nt
Filed under: Hevea brasiliensis (rubber tree)
Lineage: Eukaryota; Viridiplantae; Streptophyta; Magnoliopsida; Malpighiales; Euphorbiaceae
Source: RNAcentral
AAUUAUAUGAAAUUCAAUUAAAUUAUACAUUUUAAGUUGUAUCAUACCAAACAGUGGAGUUCACUUCAGAUGAAUUCUAGCUUAGCUAGAAUUCAUUUCAAUUUGAACCAAACACUCUGUAAGUUGACAUGCAACAAAAAAUCACAAGGUAUACUAUGGUAAUAAAUGGUUAGUUUGGAUUCUAGAAAUGUGAUCAAGUAUCCAUUUCACUCACAUGGCUGGCAACACAUAACAACUUUAAUGAAAAAAAAAAAUCCUAAUA